Molecule: ribosomal RNA, 501 nt
Filed under: Lasius brunneus
Lineage: Eukaryota; Metazoa; Arthropoda; Insecta; Hymenoptera; Formicidae
Description: partial 16S ribosomal RNA
Source: RNAcentral
GGUUUUUUGAAUAUUUAUAAUUUAAGAUUAGUUCUGCUCAAUGAUUUAAGUUAAAUAGCCGCAGUAUUUUGACUGUGCUAAGGUAGCAUAAUCAAUUGUUUUUUAAUUGAGGACUGGAAUGAAGGAAUUGAUGAAAUUAAGACUGUCUAUUGUUAAAUCAUUAAAAUUUAAAUUUUAAGUAAUAAUUCUUAAAUAAAAUUAUGGGACGAGAAGACCCUAUAGAAUUUGAUAUAAUUUUUUAAAAAAUAUAAGUAAAAAUUUAAUAAAAUUAAUAUUUUAUUGGGAGGAUAAUUAAAUUAAAUUAACUUUAAGAUUAAAAUUGAAACAUUAAUUUAUGAAAAAUUUGAAUAAUUUUUUUAAUAAUAAUAAAUAAAAUUAAUAAAAAAUUAAUUACCUUAGGGAUAACAGCGUAAUAUUUUUAAAAAGAUCAUAUUGAUAAAAAUGAUUGCGACCUCGAUGUUGAAUUAAAAUAAAAGUUAAAUGAAGAAGUUUAAUAUUUUA